AGGGUUUGAUCCUGGCUCAGAACGUACGCUGGCGGCACGCCUAACACAUGCAAGUCGAACGAAGUAGCAAUACUUAGUGGCAGACGGGUGAGUAACAUGUGGGUAUCUGCCCUUUGGCCUGGAAUAACACGAGGAAACUUGUGCUAAUACCGGAUAAGUCUUUACGGAGAAAGCUUUAUGCACCAUUGGAUGAGCCCGCACUUGAUUAGUUUGUUGGUGGGGUAAUGGCCUACCAAGACUGUGAUCAAUAGCUGAUUUGAGAGGAUGAUCAGCCACAUUGGGACUGAGACACGGCCCAAACUCCUACGGGAGGCAGCAGUGGGGAAUCUUGCACAAUGGAGGAAACUCUGAUGCAGCGAUGCCGCGUGAGUGAAGAAGGCCCUUGGGUUGUAAAGCUCUUUCGUCGGGGAAGAAAAUGACUGUACCCGAAUAAGAAGGUCCGGCUAACUUCGUGCCAGCAGCCGCGGUAAUACGAAGGGACCUAGCGUAGUUCGGAAUUACUGGGCUUAAAGAGUUCGUAGGUGGUUGAAAAAGUUAGUGGUGAAAUCCCAGAGCUUAACUCUGGAACUGCCAUUAAAACUUUUCAGCUAGAGUAUGAUAGAGGAAAGCAGAAUUUCUAGUGUAGAGGUGAAAUUCGUAGAUAUUAGAAAGAAUACCAAUUGCGAAGGCAGCUUUCUGGAUCAUUACUGACACUGAGGAACGAAAGCAUGGGUAGCGAAGAGGAUUAGAUACCCUCGUAGUCCAUGCCGUAAACGAUGUGUGUUAGACGUUGGAAAUUUAUUUUCAGUGUCGCAGCGAAAGCGAUAAACACACCGCCUGGGGAGUACGACCGCAAGGUUAAAACUCAAAUGAAUUGACGGGGACCCGCACAAGUAGUGGAGCAUGUGGUUUAAUUCGAAGAUACGCGCAGAACCUUACCAACACUUGACAUGUUCGUCGCGACUCUAAGAGAUUAGAGUUUUCGGUUCGGCCGGACGAAACACAGGUGCUGCAUGGCUGUCGUCAGCUCGUGUCGUGAGAUGUUGGGUUAAGUCCCGCAACGAGCGCAACCCUCACUUUUAGUUGCCAUCAUUAAGUUGGGCACUCUGAAAGAACUGCCAGUGAUAAGCUGGAGGAAGGUGGGGAUGACGUCAAGUCCUCAUGGCCCUUACGUGUUGGGCUACACACGUGCUACAAUGGUAUCUACAACAGGAAGCAAGACUGCGAGGUCAAGCAAAUCCUUAAAAGAUACCUCAGUUCGGAUUGCACUCUGCAACUCGAGUGCAUGAAGCUGGAAUUACUAGUAAUCGUGGAUCAGCGUGCCACGGUGAAUGCGUUCCCGGGUCUUGUACACACCGCCCGUCACACCAUGGGAGUGGGUUUUGCCAGAAG
RNAcentral lists this ribosomal RNA (1371 nucleotides) under uncultured bacterium. RNAcentral's name for it is "bacterial SSU rRNA". It matches the Rfam family "Bacterial small subunit ribosomal RNA". The record is from RNAcentral.